RNAcentral lists this long non-coding RNA (35719 nucleotides) under Capsella rubella. RNAcentral's name for it is "long non-coding RNA (CRUB_LNC001367)". The record is from RNAcentral. Lineage: Eukaryota; Viridiplantae; Streptophyta; Magnoliopsida; Brassicales; Brassicaceae.
AGACACGUAGUUUACACAACCGUUAAAGGCAUGAUUACAAAGUGACCAUACACUUUAUUUAGAAAAAGAAAAAACGGUUCAUUUAAGCCUCGACGAUCUCCUCGAUAAAAGGUUGUUGUUGCCUACCAGCGGAUCGAGUCAAGGUGGUCUCAAGGGUGUUAAACUUGAUCCUCCUAGCUUCCUCGGGGGAGACCUGGAAACCAUUUGAGAUGACCGCUAAUGGCAAUCCCCUCAAGAGCGAGGUUCGUCCAGCCAAAGUGCUGAUCAUAGCGUUUUCGUUAGUCUUGAAAGAGAUCCACUCGAAGUUGUUUCCGUGGGACUGGACAACGUAUGCGAACCCUUGUGGGAUGACCACGAGCUGUCCCUUCUGCACCUGCUGGUCCAACACAUUCUGUCCGUUGUCGUUCACAACUUGGAUCCUUCCUUGUCCUCCGGUGCAGUACAAGAUCUCGUUAGCGUUCAUGUUGUAUUUUGGAAGUACCAUAGCAUUCUGCAACAUUUCAUACAUGAUCAGUUGUUGUCCGUCACAUGUAGCCUCCGAUUUUAAUAUGUUUUGUUUUGUUUUUUUUGAAAAAGAUUUUUAAUAUGUUUUGUUAGGGGAAAUAAUUAAUAUCAACCAUGUAAAUAUAGUGGAUUAUAUAAGUUUAGUGACUUAAUAUCCAUAUAUCUACAACUAAAUAUCUACUAAAUUUAAUUAUAAUUUGUAUACUAUCCCUAAUUUAUCUUUUCACGGUUGAUUUCUCUAUAUUUGUAUAAAGUAAAAGAAACAUAUACUUACACCCUGGAUACUGCCACGGGUGGCGCUGAGCCUGAUGAACUGCAAGAUGGGCAAGGUGUAGCUGUUAACGGUGGUCAUACGACCUAGGUUGGGCUUGUAUACGUCAGCACGAGCAGGGUCGUCAAUGUUUUCGUGGGACCUCAUGCUGCAGAUAGUCUCCUCAAGGCCGUUGUCUUGUGGGCCACGUGGGCGUCUCCUCUCUUCGCUCUCGUAGGGUUGUCUCAAAGGUGGUCGCACGACCUGGAAAGGUCCCUUAACACGAACGAUGUUUCCUCGGUUGUCUUGUUGGUUCUGAAGCUCCUGAGCCAACUGAACGUCAAUUUUCAAUGCCUGAGCAAUGACCUGAGCGUCGAAGCCGCUCCACAUGUUCUUCUGUUCUUGUUGUUGCUGUGGACCGCCAAAGCCACCCUGUUGGUUGUUUCCGGCCAAAUGGAACACCUAUAACACCGAAUCAACAAAUGCAAAACAUUUAUAUAUUAUUUAAACUGAUACGGUAGAUAUUCUAAUAAUGAGUGAGCAUGUUGAGUAUAUAUGAUUACUCUAGGGUUACGGUCGAGUUGGUUUUGGUAGUUGGCGAUGUCGAGAAGAGCGAUGAUGACAAGUGGCUGUUCUCCGGUGUUGUAGAUCCAAUGGGCAGAGCCUGGAGUGAUGGCACAGAUGUCUCCCUGGCGAACAUGUUCCACCUUCUGGUGCAUGUCACGGAACCCUUGUUGUUGCUGUUGUCCCUGUUGUCCCUGUUGUCCCUGGCCUCCCCAUGGUUGUCGUCCCUGUUGUCCCUGUCUUUGUUCUUGCUGUUGUUCUUGCAUGGGCUGCGAGUCCAUGAAGGUCUCAGCACAUCCAGGGACCACUCUUCCGCUAAUACCCUUUCCUGUAAAUUAAUUUUAUAUACAGAAUAGAGUUAUCGUACGGUGAAUCUAUUGUAUUCUUCAUUAAUUAAAACGUGAUAUAUACGUAUUUGAUUGAAAGGGCUAUCAUGUUUGUGUAAAUUGAUAUAGACCUUGAACAACGUAUGAGAUCUUCGGGGAAGUGAAGAAGGUGGGCAAGUAGAGACCGCCUUGUUCGAUCACAUAACGAGCGACGGAGACACCAGCACAUCGGAGUUGAGGGUGGUUGUGAUCCCAGUACUCGAUCUGACCGGCCUCACUCUUGAUAGUUUCGGUGGCUUGGAGAACGUCCAGGUUAUCAAGGUUACACUCGUUCUGCAGCUGAGGAGGAACCCCAAGAGACUGCCUUGCAAGGCAGCCGUUAAGGACGAGGAGAACCCCGAAGGUCGCAACGAGGAGAUUGCCGAGCUUAACCAUUUUCUUUUUGUUUGUUGUGAGAGAUGGAUGAAGAAGAACGAGGCUUAGCAGUAGUUUAUAUACUGUCGAGUGAGCUCAAUGUUUAUGCCACCUAAGAUUGGGUUUGCAUGGGGUCAUGAGUCUAUGGUUUUAACACGUCAGUCUGUGAGCUCGAGCAAGUGUCUCUUGAUGUUCAUGCGCGUAGCUCACUCUCCGCGUAUGCCAAAACACGACAAAUUCAAAUGUAUCUAUCUCAAUUUUUAGCUUCACGUUAUGUUAUUAUCCAUAUAGAAAAACUCUACUAGAUUUAUCAUUUAAUAACGUCUCGGGAUCAUAGAAUCUCUUAAACAUGAUAUAUAAUUGAACUUAAACACAGCAGGAGAAAAUCAAAGUUUAACAAUUAACACAUCAUUAACAUCACCAGUGAUAUAUAUUGAAUAUUUUGGCGAUGUGAUCGAAGAGAGCGUAUAAACAAAAUAAAAUUUUAAAAUAGAGAGUUAGGAAGGAAACAAGGUGCCACAUGAGAGAGACGCGGCGACACUAGGCGUGUUUGAUCCGUUGUACUUGUAUCUGCUGCGACUUGACUCGACAACUGUUCGGUUGCAUGUUUAGCCGCGGUGACAAGUGUCUGACAUUUAUACUAAAUAGGCUUAUCAAAACCAAAACCAAGCCCAAUAAAGUAUUCUUUAUUCACCAUUAAGCCCAGCUAACGUAUCUAAUUGCCCAUAGCGUGAGCCCAAAGAAAAAAAAAAAAAAAAAUGCGACACCGUCCCGUUUCUCCAAUAGAAGUCAGAGAGCUUAAACCCUAAACCCCUUUCUCACGAUCUUCCCCUUUCUCCAGUAGCCAAGGUUUCAGGUACGCUUCUCGCCAUUUCGCUUUUGUAUUUUGUUUAACGGGUGUGUAUCAAUUGAUUCCUUUCGAAAUUUUAGUGAACGAGUGAAUUUUGGAGGUGGCUGAGAGAGUUUUCUGCUCGAAGUUAAUUACUUGCUGUUUAUACCAAAGAUGCGAGUGUUGCUGUUUGAUUGAUUAGAAGUGUUUUGAGCAUGUGGGUUCGUUAAAUUUUAUAGCUUUUACGAUUUCGUGUGCUGAAAUUUGACUUCAUUUUGAUUCUGUUACUUGACUCUUUUGGUAGCUAUAAGUUAAAGUUGCAUAAGUGAGUAGAUCUGAGUCUGAUUCUUGGGUGCAUGUUUGUGUAUUCUGUUUCUCUGCACUUGGAUAUUGAUUUUAAUUUUUUGAAAUAUUGGGAGUGUUCUAGAAAGAAGGAUGAAUAUCAACGUCAAAGUUCCGAAGGUACCAGGUGGUGGUGCCAUUUCAGCGCUGCUUAAGGUUGGGAUUAUCGGUGGGCUUGGUCUCUAUGGUGCCACACACAGUCUCUACAAUGUUGACGGAGGACAUCGUGCCAUUAUGUUCAAUCGUUUUAUCGGUAUCAAAGAUAAGGUGAGUCACUGUUUCUUCAAAUUGGGGUUUUUGGUUUUGUAGUGAAUGUAUUUUCCCAAAGAGUUCUUUUGCGGUUUGUGACAUUUGAAUGGAAAUUGUCUAGGAUUAUUUGUUAUUUAAAUCUGAUUCUCUUUUGUGUAAACACUGAGGCUGAUUUGUUGUCUAUGUUUGGUAUCAGUCAUGAUAUCAUGUUGUUCUGCUGUAACCAUUGAGCAUAUUAAGAGUCUUGUUAAUUCACAAGUAGGUGAUAACCUUAUAUUUCGCAGGUUUACCCUGAGGGCACACACCUUAUGAUUCCUUGGUUCGAAAGGCCGGUCAUCUAUGACGUUCGCGCUCGACCUUACCUUGUUGAGAGUACAUCCGGAAGCCGCGAUCUCCAGAUGGUACUCUGCUUCAACUCCUCACAUUUUUAUUCACUUUUUUUUUGAGGAUUUAGGGAAUGUGAAGUCUUUCGCUUCAACCGUCACAUGGUUUGCUUAUAUGCCACUGUGAUGUAAUAAUGUCAACGCUCAACUUCAUAAGCUUUAAGUUUGUGGGUUUUGAAACUUUCAGGUGAAAAUUGGGCUUAGGGUUCUCACGCGUCCCAUGGCAGACCAGUUACCUGAAAUCUACAGAUCCCUUGGUGAGAACUACAGCGAGAGAGUUCUGCCUUCCAUAAUCCACGAGACUUUGAAAGCUGUGGUUGCUCAGUACAAUGCAAGCCAGCUUAUUACUCAGAGAGAGGUAUACAAGUGACUGUAAAUAUAUGAUAAUCUUUCCCUCUUUCUUAGUGAAGUUAACAAAGAUAGUUUUUGGGCUACUCUUAGGCGGUCAGUAGGGAGAUCAGGAAGAUUCUGACUGCACGAGCUGCAAACUUCAACGUCGCGCUUGAUGAUGUGUCCAUCACGACCCUGACAUUCGGGAAGGAGUUCACCGCUGCCAUUGAAGCAAAGCAGGUGGCGGCUCAAGAGGCUGAGCGAGCCAAGUUCAUCGUUGAGAAGGCUGAACAAGACAAGAGAAGUGCAGUUAUCCGUGCACAGGUAAAGCUGAGCUUCUCUACAAUUCCACUUAUCUAAAAUCUGAGACCGAAAUUGUUGUGUGACAACCUUGUCAUGGCUUGUGUAGGGAGAAGCCAAGAGUGCUCAGCUCAUUGGUCAAGCAAUUGCAAACAACCAAGCGUUUAUCACACUCAGGAAGAUCGAGGCUGCAAGAGAGAUUGCGCAGACCAUAGCAAACUCGGCGAACAAGGUGUACUUGAGCUCAGACGAUCUGUUGCUUAACCUACAAGAGAUGAAUUUGGAUGUAGAUGCAAAGAAGUAGAGAGGCUUCUUAAGUAAAAUCUCAUGUGCUUCAUGUCGUCUUUUCAAUUCCUCAGAUCCUUUGGAAGAAGAGUUCGAUUUGUAACCACUAAAAAACUUUUAAAAGUUGUUCUUGGAAUCACCUACCUCAAGGUGAAAAUGGGUCACCAUUAAAGAGAAAAGACUGAAUGAGUUAAUUGUAAUGAACUUGUCGUUUGGGGGAAAAAAAAAAGAGGUUUGCAUUUGGUUAAAUGAAAAAAGUGAUUUAUUUUUCCUUUCGAAAUAACGAGUGUCAAUUGUCAAAUGGCUAAUCUACUGCUUAAGACAUCCGAAGUCUGUAGGCGCUAUUUAGUUCUCUGCCGACAAGAUAUGAAAAUGAAUAAAUGUACCAAAAGACAAGGGAGAUCUUUGUACAUUUUUUCACGAUCAGUCCAAGGAAUUUAAAUUGUACAAAGCAAAUAAAAAAGGGGGAGAAAAAAAAUUAUGACAAAAAGAAAAACAAGUUACGUAUUUAAGUUUGCACAGUAACUUUUAAGUUAUUUUCAAUGUAUGUUUAUGUAGUAAUAUGAAGUAUAAUGCUUAUAUACCCUUUCUCUUAUUUUACGACCGUUGAUAUAAAAUUUGAUUUUCUUUUCAAGGGAUAAAAGGUUGAGAGUCAUGAGCCAAAUGGUUCUGUAUCCCGGUCUGAUUAAACGAGAUAAGAGCCGGAAUAUUGUGAUAAUACUCACCGGCUCCGGCCGUUCCCCCUCCACCGCCGUUGCUCUUGACGUUACUGUUGUUAUGAUGAAGAUGGUAAUGAAGGUGUCGGCCACUACUUCCACCGAGGCCUUGGAGGUAAGGUCGGUCUUUAGCCGUGGCUGCUGCAGCGACUGAGCCACCACAUUGGCGUGGUUGAGUCUGGUAGAAGACUUUGGAGACGACGAGCUCUCCUUCUUUCUCUUCCUCGUUGGUACCAAGAUGAUAUUGAUGCAUUACCCAAUUAGUCUUCUCGGGCUUUUUUUGUUUGCCGUAGUUUGUGUAGAGCACUAGGAUUUUCUUGUAGCCUCUCACUCUUCCACCGGCUAGAACUGGCCGUGUUUUGCCGGUUUUGUGCCACCGUGUCUCGCCACCAACUUCGGAAUCAGUGUGGACUUUACGUCGUUUUCUUGUUCCCGUCGUGUAUGCCUUCGACGGCCGGUGGAAAAAAUGACGGACAGUCCCGUCCUUGUUCACUCCUAUAUAUAUAUAUUCAACGACUAAUUAGCAUUCAUCAAACAUUUUCUUCUAUUUAACCUUUUUAUCAAAUAUCAUUCAAUUAUUAAUUUUCAACAUAUUUUUGGAGUUUUCACUAAUCAUAUACUAGCUAGUGGAAACAAAUAACAAAAUUUGAUCAUCAACCCUAAUUAUAAUUAAUGCUAUUAUUUGUAUGUAACAUAUUUUUCAGAUGGAUGGCACUAAAUCUAUAGAAAUCAAACAUUAAAUUAUUAAUGUAUAGAAAAAUAGUAUACACUAUACAAGAACAAUAGAUAUGUAAUCAAUCUUUUAAAGUAUCAUAAAAGUUAUAUAUGUUCUUUUUCCAUGUCAGAUUAUUUAGAUCAUAUGAAAAUGAAAAAUAUAAAUAUAUACUAGAUUCGGACCCGCGCUACAGCGCGGGGGAAAAUUGUCUGGUUUUGUUUUUUGUUUUUUUCUUUCAAAUGUCGAUUGUAAAAUUUGAUGUUUUAUUUUAAGUAUGUAAUUGUGUUGGGUUGGAAAAUUUAACGUUUAAAAUAGAAUAUGAUAGCGUGGUUCCCGUAUGAGCUUAAUUUUCCGAUGUUUUGAAAAUGGCAUUUGGGGAUAAAAGAUUGUUGGUGUUAUACAAUUGAAACAUUUAUUAAGUUAAUGUGGGUUUAAUAAAGUUUAUAUACUCAAGUUAGUAACUAAUUGUAUGUAAUAUUUAUAACAUUAUUAAGCUAAACUGUUAUUUUGCUAAGUAAUAUUGAUGAAGUAUGUGUUUAUAUUUCUAAAUUGAACCUUUAGUAGGUUUGUAUCAUCAUGUUGACAACAAUUUAUAUUUUUGUUCAUGUUUACUUUUUUUUUACCAAUAUUAACGAUGGCUUCUCAAAUCCUUAUUACGGAAACACUAAGACUAUCUCCAAAGAGGGAUCCUUAAGUCAAAAUUAGAAUUUAUGUUGAUUUAAAAUAAAUGUAAAUGUAAUUAAAUGAUAAAGAGCGCUCCUUAUUAAAAGACUUUAAAAAGCGGUUGCUAAAGGACGUGGCAAAAUAAUAUUGGUUGUGGCAAACAUACAUUUUUUNNNNNNNNNNNNNNNNNNNNNNNNNNNNNNNNNNNNNNNNNNNNNNNNNNNNNNNNNNNNNNNNNNNNNNNNNNNNNNNNNNNNNNNNNNNNNNNNNNNNGUCUCUCUCUUCUCUCGCAUUCCUCUCUUUUUCUUUCUCUUUCUUUAUUUUUCUCUCUCUCUUUUAUUUAAUUGUAAUUUAUAAUAAAAUAUUAUUAUACACAUUUUUUAAGGGUUCAAGGUUGGAGAUGCCCUAAUAAAUUAAUAUUGCCUAAAUCCACAUUUUAUAAUAUAAAAGUUUAGGUUUUGUUGACAAUUAUGAAGCCUUUUUGUUUUCCAUAAUAAGAACAAUUAAUAAUAACUGUGGGCUUUUGGCCCAUUACUGAAUUUUAGUGGAUGAUGUUUACCCAAUUUAUUUAUUUUUUUCAAUCAAAAUUGUCUUGCAGUCAGAUUUUGUCGUUAUUGAAAUCGAAAUUUAGGAAAAUCUUGGUUCGUAAUUCUAGGAGAUACGAAAAAGUUGUUAUAUUAUUCACUUAGUUACUAUAUCAUACUCAAUGCUGUUGAAAUUACGCUUUAAUGCGUAAUAAUUAUUGAAGGAAAGAUAUUAUGAAUAUUCGUAUAGUUGUUAGGUAAAGUUCUUGGAAUAUUCUGUUUUUUGGUAUAUUGAAAACGCACGAGACAGAGAAGUCGCUAGUAUAACUAUCUAAGGCCAAGAAGAAGGCCCAAAACAUUAUUAGCUUUUAAUGUCCGAUUAAUAUAGCAAUAACUUCCGUUCAAAUUUUAUUGAGAAGAUCCGAUUUGGAAGUCGGAUUUUUUUUUUAAAACCGACCCGAGAGAGUAUUUGUACUUCUCUUUUACUAUAGUAGGGAUUUUCUGUUAAAAUUAUUUAUUUUGCUGUCAUUAAUUCUGUUUGGUUAUAGGUUUAGGAUUACAUAAAAUGUUAUUUUUAUUUUUAAUUGUGUUUGGCUUUCAAGAUAAAUAAUGCUUUCCUUUUAAUAGUAUAGAUAGCUCAUGUAAACAGCAAAAUUGUUGAUGAUUGAACAACAUAGAAUCACCUGGCAAUUUCUCAGGAUGGGUAUAACAGAUGCCGUUUUCACCAUCGAUAGUACGGAUGAACUCAUCGAUGAGAGGAUGAAGCUUUCUUGCGUCGUCUUUUACCUUCCCCUCAAGAUGUUCCAGUACCUCUUGAUCCGUCGGAUCAAAUUUCACUCCGGCGGGCAGUCCCGGCAAGUCAUGGAUCCCGGCCUACAUAAAUUGGGUUUUUGAUUACUCAUGAUCAACUAAUAGAUAUCAAUGAUCAAACAGUUUCCAAAUGUAGAAACUAGAUGUAGCUAGCUAGGUAUUGAGAGAAACAAGAACCUGUUCAUGAAACUUGAAGUUAUGGCCACAAGAAGGACAAGUUUUGUGGCUUGAGACCGGUAAUGAGGCUCUGGGAGACUCAGCCGCAGUCGGGGAGGGAAUGAUUCUUUCAACGGUCUGAACAUCGUUACGGUCAUUGCACCAAGUCAUGUUGUUUUAGGUAUCCAAGGUUCCUCUUGUGCAUAUCUCUCUUUCUCCUCUUCUUUCACUGCUCACAACUUCGUCAAAAUAAACAAAGGCAUGAGAGAGGAAGAGAGGAAGAGAGGAGGGAAAAAGAGUUAAAGUUAGCUAAAGCAUAUGUAUCCUAAGAAGAACUCUUUGAGGUUAUCUUGAGAAGGAGGAAGGAAUUGAAUUCUUGUUCAUCACUUUUUAAGUUGAGUUAAUUGGCCUUUUUUGCACUUGAUUUUAACUUUGUACUAUCCAUGAAAGAGAGAGAGAGAGAGAGAGAGAGAGAGAGAGAGAGAGAGAGAGAGAGAGAGAGAGAGAGAGAUGAGGUAAGCCUAAAAAAUUUAUUAUUUAAACCUCAUUUUAUAUUGUGUACAAAUGUACCAUUACUCUACAUAGUAAGAAAUUAUUAUUUAGAGCUAGACUUAAUUAGUUUUGUUUAAUAAGUAUAUUUGUAGAAACAUACAUGCUAAGUAACAAUGAGAGGAAGAGGUACACCUACAACUCAACUUGAAAGUGAAGUGUAAUAUAUAAUUGUGAAAUUUCAAUCUUUUGAUUUACAUGUAACAUUGAUCUUUUGCCAAAAAAAAACAUGUAACAUUGAUAAAUUAUAUAUUGGAAAUUUUCUUCUUCUUGUUUUUUUUACAAGUUUACAAUGCAUAGUUGUAUCUUCUAUAGUUAAAAGCAUUAAAUUAAAAACUUCAGAUUCUUUCUGAAACUGCAAUGUGAUAUUCUGAAUAAACUAAUGGAUGAUUAGAAUUAAGAAAAAAAUAAAUAAAGGAGAUUGCUUGGGUUUUAAGUUUGGUUUGGCUUCUACAUCGCAUGUAUGGUGUGUGAGAGAGAAAGAGACAAAGACGACUGAUCAAACAUCUAAAAUAUAUGAAAAACAAAAUCUUGUGAGAGAAUAUAUAUGUAUGAUGUUGCCUUUUUUUUUCUUUUUGGGACAAACACAUUCUUAAUUAGGUUAAUUAAUUAGGUUUCUACCUUUGGUCGUAUUUUGUAUGUAUUGAUCUUUAUAUUCAAUAUAUUAAUUUGGUAAUUUACUGAUAUUUAGGAUCUAAAAAUGAGUAAUGAGAUGGCGUGGUUUUGGAGGAAGGUGUUGUUGCUGGUUCGUGAGGGAUCAGACGUGAUAGGGUAGAACCAAAAAAAAUAAGAAAGAGAAGUUAAGGUCCAAUGUCACCCUAGCGUGUAUAUAAAGAUAUUAUAAAUCACAUAAGCUUAUACUUAUAAUUUACACAUCUGUGUCUUACAUAAUUUUUCUUGUCUCAAUGUCUCCAUCAGUAUUUACUGAAAUCAUAUACUCUAUACGAGUACUGACUGAUAUACGUAAGAAAACAUUAAUAAAAACAUUGAUAUUAUUUCCGAUGGAUAUUGUACACCUCGAAUAUAGUUUUAAGUCGUGCAGAAGUAUAGUUUUAGUAAUUAGUUUCUCAUUUUUUUCCCUUUUAAAUUAUUGGUUAGUUUUAACUUUUGUGAAAUAAAUCAAUAAUACUCUAGAGAAUAAAGUUAAAAGCGAUAUAUGCGUAUAAUUAUUUAUUUUUGAAAUCUUACGUUUAUUGUCAAAAAUAGUUAUGAUCACGUCAAGAUAACAACUCUCAAAAUCGCAAGAAAAACAUAUCCUUGAAAUACAAAUUAUAAGUAGCAUGUCGAAAAAUGAAUUAACAUUUAACACUUUGUGGCAUGAAUUUGUAAGUGAAGUUGAGAUGGAAUUGUUAUAUACCGAGGUUGAUGAAUAAUAUAAAAGUAAGAAGCUAUUUUUUAUAUAGAUAAAAAGAAAAAGAAAGUUUAAAAAGCUAGUCAUUAUUCUAUUUCUUCACGUAGACUUUUCAUGCAUAACAAGGAACCUCAACCUUUAUUUUUAAAACUUUUCUCUUUGUCGUCUGAUUUUGUUUCUGGUCUCUCAUGUGAAUUGUAAACACAUGUUAUACUACCUUUUCUAAUCAAACUAAACAAAAUUUAUGAACAAACCGGUUCUCUAAGACAGUGAAUAGUAUGCUGCAGCUAAAACCCACAAUUGUAGAGUUCCUUAGAUGUGAGGUGGGUGAUGGUCGCUCUGCUUCUUUUUGGUAUGACUCUUGGACAGAAUUUGGUCAGCUUAUAUCUUACCUUGGAGAAGCUGGACCAAGAUUACUCUGCAUAAGGAAAGAUGCAAAGGUUGUAGAAGCAACGAGAAGUGGUAAUUGGGUUUUUCCGGCAGCUAGAUCUGAUAAUUCCCAAGCUUUAAUGGUGGCAUUAGCAGACCACUCUCCACCAGAAUCUAGCAAAGGCCGAGACGCUUUCCUGUGGCGCAAUGCUUCAGGUAAUUUCAUCCCAUCUUUCUCUUCAAAGGAAACUUGGGAGCAGUUGAGAAUUCAUUCACCUUUGGUUCCAUGGGCUGAUGUGAUAUGGUUUAAAGAGCAUGUGCCACGUUUCUCCUUUGUUAGUUGGCUGGCUUUGAUUGCUCGUUUACCCACAAGAGAUAGACUACGAAGGUGGGGCAUGAAUACCCCUGCCUCCUGUGUUCUAUGCUCUAAUGGGGAAGAAAACCACAAUCAUCUCUUCUUUGAGUGCACCUUCUCCUCAAGCGUCUGGGGUUUUUUUGCAGCGAAGUUCAUCUCCUUUCCUCCGGCCACCUUGUCAGCAGCGUCUUCAUGGAUCCUCCUCCACAAUCUGCCGCAAAACACCAAACUCAUCUCCAUCCUCAAGCUCCUCCUUCAGACGGUGGUCUAUCACCUUUGGAAAGAGAGAAACUCUCGAUUAUUCACCGGUGUUGCAUCAACCGCUGCAGCUUUGCGGCUUAUCAUUGAUCGUACAAUGCGUAGUCGGCUUCUCUCCUUUCCAGGACCUAGCUUGCUUUCUUCUUCUCUCCUUGCUGUUUAUUUUAGUCGUCUUAGUUAUCCGUUGUAAAGUAAUUCGUCUAGUCUGUCUCUUGUUCUCGUGCUAAUGGGUUAGUUUUUGUAUCUUUAGGUUGUAAUAGCUUUGGCAAUGAAAUCUUCACAUUAAAACCAAAAAAAAAAAAAUUUAUGAACAAAAAAGUUACACUUGUGUGUCUCUUCGGGAAAUUUUUGUGGUUAGCUUGUUGUUUUCAUGGGUGGAUCGAAAGCGCCGCAAGGUGACAUUCAAGAAAACCAGUAACAAAACCAAUUAUGACAUUACUUGCAUGUUCUUGGAAAUUUAGCAUAUACAAUUUAUAAUGGCACUAUUAGAUUACUUUAACUUACAAAAAUAUGUAAUUCAAGAAUUUCAACUAAAAAAAUAAAAAUAAAAAAUUCAGGUCCCUGGAAUGCAGGAAUAACGAUUUGUUGUUAAAUCAAUGUUGGUUACAAACAUGAAACAUUACAUAAGUUUAAAUAUAUAAUAACCAAACUUAGUAAUAAAUAGCAUAUCCCUUUAUACUAGGAUUAUCAAGAGCUAUUACCUAAUUAGAAAGCUCUAUUUUUCUGUUUCUUGAUAUCUUACAAUUCAACUUAGCUUAGCAUCAUAACAUCAAAUCGUUAUUCCCGGCCCAAUCCAAACUCGGCCCAGUAUUAUAAUGCUCAAACGCUGUUUAAGUCUUCUGUGUAGUAUGGAGACAGUUUCCCACCACUCUUUUUAGACGCGUUUGGACUGCUACUGGAAACAGUACCAGGUACUUCUUGAAGCAUGAUCACAACUUUUCUCAUGGAAGGUCGGUUUAGAGGGAGAGGACUCAUACAGAGAAGACCAAUGUGUAUGACUUUGCUAAUCUCUUCUUUAAACCUGAGAUCAAGUUUUGGAUCUAUAACAGAUUCUAAACCGCAUUGGUCAAGCGUAGAGCACACCCAUUUCCCCAAAUCUUUUUCUCCAAGUUCUUGAUCUGUUGGUUGCUUCCCUGUAACCAAUUCCAAAAGCACCACACCAAAGCUGUAGAUAUCGCUCUUUUCAUUCACCCGAAGUGUGUAUACAUACUCUGCAAAAUUUAAAACUCGGAAUAUAAGUUGGAAUGUUAAAAGAAUGCAGUUGAAUUGUAUCGUUUCAUUCAGAUGGAUUUCUCUUGUAACUUUAUGGUAUUGUUUUGGUAAAUACCUGGUGCAAUGUAACCGCAAGAACCAGCGAUCCCGGACAUAGCUUCUGGCGUUUUGGAACCGCUCAUCUGACCAAUUUUUGCAAUCCCAAAGUCGGCAAUUUUGGCUCUGUAUUUUCCAUCAAGCAGUAUAUUACUCGACUUCACGUCGCGGUGCACAAUCGGAGGAACGCAAUCAUGGUGCAAGUACGAUAAACCCUCAGCAGCGUCCACAGCGAUUCUUAACCGCUCUGGCCAACCCAACAACAGCCGGCCUUUGCGUUCAUUGUGCAACACAUCAGCUAAGCUCCCAUUAGGCAUAUACUCGUACACCAACAACUUACAAUCACCGGAGCUGCAACAACACCACAAACGCACGAUACUCUUAUGCCUAAUCGUUCCUAGUGUUUCGACUUCCGCGGCAAAAAAGUCUCUGUUCAACGAAUCGCUGUAUUCAUCUCCUCCUUUAACAGUUUUGUUAAGUUUCUUCACAGCUACUACUUCUCCACCGCGAAGCUCCACUUUGUAGACUUUACCGGAGGAUCCAAACCCGAUCACAUUCCGUUCAUCAAGACAAUCAGCGAUUUCGUGCUCACUGAAAUGAAGCUUGUGAAAGGAUCUCCAUUUAGACGCUGCGAGUCUAGAGCUCUUUAAAGCUCUGAGCUUUCUACACUUAGCAACGAACAUAACGACCCCAACAACGAAAACCAAACCCGCAAGUGUGAAAAUCGAUAAGAGAAUCCAGACAUAGCCAAUGUUUUUAGACCGCGUGAUCUUCUGACAAAGACCAUCAAGAUCAACGCAUAAACCGGGAUUUCCAAUAAAGUCAUGUGCGUAUAUUUUGUCCCUGUACAGAAAAGGAAUGUUACCGGAGAGGCGAUUAUACGACAGAUUGAGAACGUUUAGCUUCAGGUUCUGCAGUUCCACCGGAAUCUCACCGGAAAAUUGAUUGUUGGAGAGAUCGAGGUAGUUAAGAACAGGCAAGAUUCCGACUUCUUUAGGGAUCUCACCGGAGAGAUGAUUAUUAGCCAAAUUGAGCUCAUUUAGAUUCUUCCAACCACGAAUCCCUCUAGGAAUCUCGCCGGAGAGUUGAUUCUUACUGAGAUCAAGCCUACUCAAUUGCUUCAACUUCACCAAGCUACCAGGAAUUACACCAUUGAAACCAUUCUCCGCUCCGGAGAACUCGAUCAGUCCCUUAAGCGAUCCGAUUUCGUCGGGUAUGGAACCUAAAAAUCGAUUCUUUGAGAUUCGUAGGUUUGAUAAAUUCUUCGCACCGAUGAUCGUCUUAGGAAUAACUCCGGUGAAUGAAUUUUCUGAGAGUUCGAGCAGUGAUAAGCGAGGCAAUCCCCAGAACUCGUGAGGUAUGUUACCGGAGAGCUUGUUGUUACUCAAUCGGACCCGAGUCAAGCUCUUGCAUUUUCCUAGACUUUGCGAGAUUUCUCCUGUGAACGAAUUGUCUAUAAGAAUUAGAUACUCCAGUUUCCCUUCGCCGCAGAGAUUCGCCGGUAUUUCGCCGGAGAAUUGAUUGUAUGAUAGGUCCACGUACUGUAACGGAGAGUUUGCGCCGAGUUGACUCGGUAACGUUCCGGUGAGUUUGUUGUUGAAUAGCUUGAGUUCGUACAAGUUUUUGGAGCGAGUUAUGCUCUCCGGUAAGGGACCUUCAAGCAUGUUUUCGAAGAGAUUGAGUGAUUCGAGGUUUAACAGAUUCAAUCCGUCGGGUAUCUUACCUCUAAGCUCGUUCGUCGACGCGUCGAAUCUUUUUAGCGUCGUCAUGUUACCCAUAGCUUCUGGUAACUCGCCUGAGAACGAGUUGUUGAAUAGUUCGAUUUGCUCGACGCUGUUCAGCUGUGUGAUCCAACUUGGGAUUGAUCCAGUGAGUUUAUUAAAUGUCAAAUCCAAGUUAACCAAACGAGUCAAUUUAGAUAGAGCUGAAGGUACCGGACCGACGAGGUUGCAGCCGGCGAGCCAGAGAACUUGAAGCUCUGUGAGGUUUCCGAGUUGACUUGGGAUAAGACUCGGAGAAAACAAAUUGUAAGCGAGUUUGAGUUCUUUGAGAGUCGAGACGUUGCCGAGCGUGGCGGGGAUUGUACCGGAGAGUAAAUUACCGGCGAGGUCUAAAGACUCGAGCUUUUGGAACUCUCCGAAGCUCGCCGGAAUCGUGUCUGAUAAGUUGUUACCGGAGAUUUCGAGGAACUUGAGGUUCGGGAGAUUGGAAGGAAGUGACUUUGGGAUGGACCCGACCAAAAGAUUCUCCGACAAAUCGAGAUAUUCGAGAUUACGACACGCCGUGAAGUCAUCGCCGGAGAGAGAACCAUUGAUGGAGUUGUUAGCAAGAGAGAGAAAGGAUAGAGAAGGAAGACGACAGAGGAUGGAGGGGAAAGGACCGACGACCAUGAAGCUUGAGAGAUCGACGGAGACGACGGAUGAGAAAGCGUCGCACUUGACGCCGUUCCAUUGACACGGCGUGACGUCGUUAUCGGACCAUGAAGAAAGGGACUGAACCGGGUCUGAUAAACUCAGUUUGGCUUGCCGGAGAAUGGUGGCAUCUUGGUUUAGAGAUAGACUUAGAUACGUGGAGGAGAGACAUAGGAGGAGAAUAAGACAAUAAAGCAUUUUUGUUAUAAAAAAAAAAGUUAUGGUUCUUUCAUGCUUUGGAUUUGUGAACAAAAACGAUAUUAUGGAUUGGUAAUUAUAAAGGGAUAUCUAGAAGCAAAAAGGGUAAUGGUCACUGUGACAAGACAUGGGUGAGACAUGUUUUUGAACAAUUCGGAGGCAAAUACAAUACAGUUCGAUGAUUUUUAUAUGAAAUCGAUUACAGAAUAAAGUACUACAUAUACAAAUCAUCUCCAAAAACAUAUAAAGUGAUAGAAAAAGAAACAUUUGGAUUCUAAUAGUUACAUAAAUAUACAUAGUGUAAUUUUUUAUUUAUAGGUAAAUAAGAACAUGUAAAUUAUUGUUCACUUCUUCAAUUAUUCGAAAAGAAAAACAAUGGUCAAUGGUCACUCUCUGAGUCAACUGUAAUGCUACUUUGGUCAACAUGAUGGAGAUACAUGGGCCAAGAGAUGCUGGAUCUAUGUUGACUUUUCUAGUUUGCAUAGAGGCUUCUGGAUUGGACUAAUGUUAUGAAUACAAACUACACAACUAGUGAUGGGAUCUAAUGUGGUUUUUGUGGAACGUAUAUCCUAUGAUUUUACUGUGUAUCGAUCUAAAAAAAAGUUGUUGAACCAAAAACCUAAAACAUACAUGAUCUCCCAACCCUAGAUUGAACAGAUAAUUUGAUGUGAUGGGCAUACGUUUGUAAAGCCGAGUGUGUAUACGUAGACAAGGUCAACUUUGGUUGGUCGGGAAAAAACAUGAUCCAACAGUAAUUUUUUGUUAGAUUACUUUCAUUUCAAUAAGAAAAGCAACAGUCACUUUGAUUUUGAAAAAAAACUACGAGAUUUAAGGGGGGAAAAGAGAGAAAAUGAUGGAUCUUGUCUUUAGCUAAUCUGUGAUCGGAUAUCACGAGUUUUUGCGAUGGUUACAACGCACUAUGCAGUAUGAUGUAACUUCAAGUCCAAUAAUGUUUUGGUCUUCUAACGAUAAUUACCACCACUCUUCCUAGUUUGCAUUCUCUUUACGUCUCCUCGAGUACGUUGCUUUUUUUUAAUGGUUUGGACUUAGUUUUAGUAAUAAAUUUAUAAUAACGAUAUGCUUCAAAAUCUUGUUAUUUUAGUGUUCCAAAAGAAAAUUGUUAGCUAUACCCAAAAACCACGUAAAAAAAGGUUAUACGUGAUAUAAUUUCGUUUUAUUAAAUCCAUGUUUAAUAUGGUUUGCAUGUAUACAGCAUGUAAAUUUUUUCAAAUGAAACAGAGAAUAGCAAAGUUUUCGUUUUUGAAGUUUUAUUAACAAAUACAAUUUUGAGUUGCAGGUCCACUUACCAACUGAUAACCUCUUUUAGCCGAAGAAUAAAUUCGUGCAUAGACCAAUCCAAUACAAUUCUUCAUGGACCAUACGUUAGACUUAGACACUAACUAGACUAGACAGAUUAUAAUUAAGCCACGUCAUUGAAGAGCACGAAACUUACAUUAUUUCGUAUUUUUUGGGAUCCUCCAUAAUCAUCAAUAAUUUAGAACCACUGAAUUAAUUUUUCUAUUUCAAGAAUGGCAAAGUAAUACCAUUGUAUUCUCUUAUCUUCAUGUAGUUUAAUAGACUUAUAGCAUUGCUUGUGUAAAUUAUAUGAAAUCACCUGUAAAUUUUUAUCACAACAAUAUCAUAGAAGUAUAUAUAUAAUCUUCAUAGUUGAUACUAAGGAAACGGUAACAGAGUUUUUUUUAAAAGUUAAAUCCUUUCUGUUACAAACCUCCUAUUUCUUGUUUCGUUACUCAAAUGGUUUUUACGUUUUGUUAUUGCUAAUCUUGACCUGCAACAGAAACAUAAAAAUGGAAGAACAGAAUAUCAACCUUGAAACCUUAACAACAACAACUCAACCGAAGCAGACACCAAAACAAAGAAAGAAAGAAAUCGAAACCCAUAAAAUCUUGUACAAUCCUUUCAUAUCAGAAUAAGCACCAGAGAGACAAAAAGGAAAAGAAAAGAAGAGAUACAUAAUCAUUUGAAAUUGCAGAUAUAAAAAAAUUCAGUGAUGGAAGAGACAAAGCAGUCAUUGAUAGCAUCUUUGCCGGCGGCACCAAGAAAGCCGAAGUCGAAAGUAGAGAAAUUUGCGAGGAAAACAUUCAAAGGAACAACUCAUUUGUCAAAUCUACUUCCGACCGGUUCGGUGAUGAGUUUUCAAAUAAUGUGUCCGGUCCUAACCCAUCAGGGUCAGUGUCCGACCAUCACCAGUCGCUGGCUCACCUGCUUCCUCGUCUUCGUAUGCGCCAUCUCUUGCUUCAUCUUCUCCUUUACCGACUCUAUCAGAGACCCAAACGGCAAGGUAAUAUACAUUUCUCUAUCACAUUUUAGCUAUUUUUAUAUUUACCAUUCGUAUGACAUAUCAAAACUCAAUGUUGUAGAUUAGGUACGGAAUCGCGACAUGGACCGGGCUAUGUGUGAUAGACGGAUCAAUAACUCUAACGGAUGAGGAGAAGGCAAAGUAUAAGCUACAGAUUCUUGAUUUCGUGCACGCAAUCAUGUCAAUGCUCGUCUUCUUUGCAAUCUCCAUGUUUGAUCAGAACGUAACCCGUUGUUUAUUCCCUGUUCCUUCCGAGGAAACUAAGGAGGUCCUUACCAGUUUGCCUUUUAUCAUUGGUGUCUUUUGUGGUGGCUUCUUCCUCGCGUUCCCGACACGCCGUCAUGGCAUCGGAUCCCCACUCACCAAAGAGUAACUUCAUACUCUUACACAAAAUGACGUAAAGUUUUAGUUAUCUUCAAAUUUUUGUUUCUGGAUGACAUGUAACGGAAUCUUGAAAAGAACUAUUCUUUAAAAAAGAUUUGAAAGAACUAUUCUGUAAAAAGAAGACUUGUUUAACAACACGAAAUUAAUGAAGAGGGGGAGAAUUCCCUAUAAAUCGUAUAUUACCAAAUGAUCUUAAUCUCCACACAUCACAAGACAGAAGCUUUAAUCAUUAUCACCCAAGAAGCUUCUUAAACCCAGCUUUCUGUUCCGCAGUUAAUCUCGCUGGAAACUUGAUAUUGAACUUGAUCCUCAAGUUCCCUUUCUUUGUCUGAUCUUUCUGAAGUGGCAUUCCCUCUUUAGGAACCACCUCUUCAUACUCUGGAUGGAUCACGUUGGUGACCGGGAUUGCAAGUGUACGGCCAUCAAGGGUCGUUAUGUUUGUGGUGUAGCCUGUCAAGGCAUCAGCUAGUGAGAUCUUCUGUGUGACAAUCAGAUCGUUACCCUCUCGAGUGAACACUGGAUGGGGUUUCUCGUCAAUGAUGAAUACUAGAUCCGCUGGAAUCACACCCGGAUGCUCAUUGCCUUUCUCUGGGAAUGUGAUCUUUGUGCCUUUCUUCCACCCGGGUUUCACUCCAAUUGUUAGAAUCUCUUCCACUUGCAUUGCCUUUCUGCAUUUAGCAGAAGAAAAAAGAUAAGAUAGAUAUUAGAUACUGUCAAUACAACAACUAAGGCCAGCUCAAAUCAAACAGGUAAUAAAGCAGGGGAAGUUUAUAUUCAGCAUUGAUCAAUACCUUCAAAAUGAUACUGGAAUAUAAUGCAUAAUGUUACAGAAACUAAAGCUUGAAACAAAAGUUUCAUAUGUCUUCAUACUUGGGAGGUUGUCUUUCAAAUCCAUGCCUUAUGUUAACUAGUAGAUAAGUCCAAUACAAAAACUUUCUAAGUGUGAUCGGAUUGGUAGCUGAGUUUGAUCACUUACCCGCUGACAUCUACAAUCUCCCUGGAGAUCUUCAUCUUCUUGGUGGUUCCUUUGUAGAGAUCUUCAAGGCUACAAGGCAACUUGUUCUCGAUAGGAGCCACUUUCCUAGCUGGAGCGUGAUGAUGAUGAUGGUGAUGAUGAUGCAUUGGUCCUCCUCCACCUCCUCCAUCACCAAACGAGGCAUACACAUCAUCACCAAACAUGCGGCUAGAGAACCUCGGCCCUCCGCUGCCACCACCUCCACCACCAAAGGGGGUCGAGAACCCGAAAAACUCAGCGAAUAUAUCAUCCGGGCUUCUCGGGUUGAAUCUGAAAGAUGAAGGUCCAUCUCCUGUUGAGAAGUAGGAAGCUCCACCAGCAGCAUUGGGAGGUGGCACGUUCCCUUUUAACCCUUCCUCACCGUACUGAUCGUACACCGCUCUCUUCUGAGGAUCGCUAAGAACCUACAAGAAGUCACAUCCAAAACAACAUCAGCCACACAUAAAAAACCUGAAUCAGUGUAAACAAUCUUAGUGAAAUUGAGUAAUAGAUAAGCAUAGGAAACACAAACUACAACUUUUGGGAUCCUAUUGGCUAAUUCGAUUCCUACUAUAGGACAGUGACCUCACAUAAUCUAGUUAGCCCAAAAAUAAAGCAAGUAUCUUUUAGUUUCAUACUAUGACUCGUAAACACGAAAUCUGGAAAACCCAAACGAGCUAACACAACACCAAAUCGUAAAAUCUGACUAAUUUGAAUCUCAAAUCGAAAAUUAGAAACAAGUUCGUGACCGCCGACAGAAUCACAGGAGGAGGAAAAAAAAAACUCUUUUAAGUACAAAUAAAAAUCAAAACUUUGAGGACGAUUUCAAUAAAGCAAAUCAUAAUUUUAAAUAGAGAGGCAGUGGUGAGGAAUCAAACACGAAAAACAUACAUCGUAGGCUUCAGAGAUCUGCUUGAACUUAGCCUCAGCGUCUUUUUUGUUGUUAGGGUUCUUGUCGGGAUGCCAUUUCAUAGCGAGUUUUCUAUAAGCUUUCUUAAGGUCAUCGUCGCUGGCGCUUCUAUCAACCUGUAGAACCUUGUAAUAAUCAACUCCCAUCUCACCUUCUUCUUCUUCUUCUUCUCUCUUUCGCUUCUUCACUUUUCCUGAAUCCGAUUAAUCAGCAAAGGUCUUUGAUUGAUUGAUUUUUUUUUAUGUGUUCCUUCUUCUUCGUCGUCUCUAGUCUCUUCGUCUUCGGCUUUCGAUGGUUCUUAGUAGAAAAUCUCGUGGAAGGUUCGAGAAAACACGAUCUCUCCGUUGACGGGGAGGUGACGGUGUUUUUAAUCACAGCUUUGCCCUCUUUUGGCUCUUGCCUUCUCCAUUUUUUCCCUUUAAUUAUCGUUGAAGUUUUUAGAUUCUCCAUUUAUGUAAGAUAAAAAUAAAAAUUAAUUCAGAAAAACAAUUAAAUGCUAUUUCCUUUUUCAUUAUCUAAUAAGUUUUGAGUUGGACAAAUAUUGCGAAAUUUAUCUAAAAAAGCCGUGUAGAAUAAGACAUGUAACGUAUUUAAUUAAAUGUUUGUAAUUAUAUUGUCAAAAAAAUAUAAGAAAUUUCAAGUGUUUUUUUUUAUAGAGAUUUUAACCCAAAAAAAUAGACCAUACCAGAUAAGUAAGGCCCAAUAGUAGCUCAAUAAAUAUGGGCCUCAAUGGAAUUCUUGAUGGAGGGGUAAUCUUCUCCGGUAUAAGUGUUGCGACUUUUUUUUCUUUUGAUAAAUUGUUUUUUCUAUUUUCUACAGUUGAACCUUUGUGCUUGAGUUCCCCCAUAAGAAAAAGAAAAGGCAUACUUCUUCUUCUUAAUCUCUUAAACGUGCAAUUUUCCGACUUAGGGUUUCGGCGAGAGCUCAUAAGUAGAAGCUACUCGAUCGUUUCGGAUUUCGAUUAUCAUUGUUUGGAUUCCUCGGGGUUUGAUCGGGUGUUAGUCUGACUAAAAUGGCUCCAGUUCCGGAUCCGAACAGUGUUGCCGGUGGUGCGAAGCGGGAUGAAGCUACGUUGAAGGUUCCUUCUAAGGAUCCCAAGAAGAAGGAUGAUAAAAAGGAAGAUGAUCUGGUGAGCUCUCUUUGCUUCCGAUUUUGCUUUCUCUUUUGUAUCGUGCUUAGCUGAAAGACUUUGCUGGAUUUAUUUAGUAUCGGAAGUAAAUUUCACGAUUGAGCUGUAGGUUUUGCCAGAUUUAGGGUUUAGUUGAUAAUCUGUUCAUUGGAUUUGAAUGCUUCGUAGAUUGAAUGCCACAUUGCUAUUUAAAAACCGGGAUUACGAAGUUGGUAAAAGUUCUUGGAUAUCAAAAUUCUUGUUAGGGUUUACUCCUGUGGUAUUUUGUAUAGGUAUAUCCAUUAGCCAGUUUUGUAUAUAGUUUGAUUGCUAGCUGACUCGGUUUGUAUAUGAUGUCAUUGCAGUCGGAAGAGGACUUGCAACUAAAGCAGAACCUGGAGCUCUAUGUUGAGAGAGUUCAGGACCCCAAUCCUGAGUUGCAGAAAGCUGCUCUUGAAAGCAUGAGGUAAUUCUUGUACCUAUAAACAUUGGCUGUAAAUAUUCUGAUAAUCUUCGUCGGAAUUUGUUUUAUGGUCUUGUGGUACUUCUUUUACUGCUUUUAACUACCUUGUUCAUUUUUUCCUUUUUAUUCGUAGUCUAAUCUUGAUUCGGUCUGUAGGCAGGAAAUUCGUGACGCAACAAGCUCCAUGACAUCAGUUCCAAAACCCCUCAAGUUUCUCCGUCCUCAUUAUGGAACUCUCAAGGAAUUUCAUAUAAAAAUGGCGGAUUCUGAUCUCAAAGUAAGUUUUCAGACAUUUUAAGUAAUUUCUCAUCAUCACCUUCUUGUUCCUUCUACUGAGUAUGGAUUAAGAUCAAAAUCCCUGUUUCUGCAGAAAAUGUUGGCUGAUAUACUUUCUGUCCUGGCAUUGACCAUGUCUGCUGAAGGUGAAAGGGUAUGCUUUCUUUCUAUUGCUGUAGGAGUUUCUUACCUAUUGCUAUUUAUUUCACUUUCCUUUUUGUUUUCCUCUUCGGAUAUGUCUUACCAGAUUUGUGGUUCUUGGUAGAAUUUGACGAAGUUAUUUGUUGCUGAUCCUACGUUAUACAAUACUGUUUCAGGAAAGCUUAAAGUAUAGGUUGACUGGAACAGAGGGUGACAUAGGAUCUUGGGGUCACGAGUAUGUCAGGAAUUUGGCCGGAGAGAUUGCAGAAGAGUAUACAAUGCGUCAGGUUAGAAAAAAAUUUGUUCUUUGGCAAUGUUCUUUCACUCCAAGAGUUUUACUCCUAUUAUAGAAACGUCAUGAAUCUUUUGUUUUCUCUGCUGGUCUGUUGAUGAAUUUUAUGACAAUAUGUUUUUUAUUUUGGUUAGAAUCGUUACUGAAAUAUGGUUAUAUGCUCAUUCUUUCUUUAAUGUCAGGGUGAAGAGUCCUCUAUUGAAGACUUAAUGGAACUUGUGCGGCAAAUUGUUUCUUUUCACAUGAAGGUGAGAUCCUUACAGUUUCGUGGUCCGAUGGCCCCUUAUAAUAAGAAGGGGUUUCCAUUGUAUAUCUAAAUUAGUAAAUGUUUGAUUGAUAGGCUUGAAAAUUUCACCUCUUAUUUUUCCCAUCUUUGAAGCUUUCCAUUUUGUUCUUGCAGCAUAAUGCUGAAACUGAAGCUGUUGACCUUUUAAUGGAUGUUGAGGAUCUUGAUCUCUUACUUGAGCAUGUUGACAGCACAAAUUUCAGGAGGACGUGCAACUAUCUCACAAGUGCAGCAAAGUAAAUCCAUUAUGUUGAUCUUAUUCAUUUGACAGGCGAUUUCCUUCAUUUAUGGUUUUAGAUCACUCAUACUGUUAUUUACAUGAUCCCUUUGAUAUUGUAUGUAUUUGUUCAGGUAUCUUCCAGGACCAGAUGACAUGUUGGUUCUAGAUAUUGCUUACAUGAUCUACAUGAAGUUUGCAGAGUAUCCAAAUGCUCUGCAAAUUGCAUUAUUUCUUGAUAACAUGCAGGUAUGGGCUCUAAUCUUCAUAUAGAACUUAAUAUACUCUUUCUGAAACAUGGGGAGAUCUGAAAAACACUCUCCUCUAACUUGUGUAUUUUUCUUGUAGUAUGUGAAGCAAGUAUUUACCUCGUGUUCUGAUUUGCUAAAAAAAAAACAGUUCUGCUACAUGAUUGCACGUCAUGUAAGUUCUUAAUAAAUUGAAUCAGCAUAAAGGCGCAGUACCCGAUGAUUUGUUUUCUUAUAUUUCUUUUUCUGUUGUUAUUUCUCCUUGCAGGGUAUCACCUUUGAGCUUGACCAGGAGAUGGUUGCAAAUAACGAUGACAAAGACGCCCUACAAGAUAUUGUUAACAACACUAAGUUGGGUGAUGGAUAUCUGACACUUGCUAGGGAUAUUGAGGUCAUGGAGGCCAAGACGCCUGAAGACAUCUACAAGGUUUAUCAGUUUAACUGAAUAUUACGCCUGUUACUGCUUUAUUUGGUCACAUGAUAUGUUCAUGUCAGUGCCUCUUACCUCAACUGUUCACUGAAAUUUUGCAGGCUCACCUGAUUGAUGGUCGAGCUAGCUCUGGUCCAAGUGUGGAUUCAGCUAGACAAAAUCUGUCUGCGACUUUUGUGAAUGCAUUUGUAAAUGCUGGUUUCGGUCAGGUAUGAUUACAGAAUCUUAUGGUGUGCAAAUAAGAAGAAAUUUGGAAGCUGCCUUUGAUAUACAGUAUUUCCUUAUUGCAGGACAAAUUAAUGACAGUACCAUCAGACUCAACUGGAUCGGCUGGAAACUGGAUCUUCAAAAAUAAAGAUCAUGGCAAGAUCAGUGCAACUGCUAGUCUGGUAUGCCUCUUCUUACUUGAUGAAUUGACUAGCUAUGGUCAUAUUUGAAGUAAAAACUGUAACAUUACCUUGUUGCUUCCCAAUUCUAGGGUAUGAUUCAUUUGUGGGAUGUGGACACGGGACUAUCUCAACUGGACAAAUAUUUGCAAGUUAGUGAUAAUUCCAUAGUCGCUGGAGCUGUGCUGGGAAUUGGGAUUGUUAAUUGUGGCAUCAAGAAUGAUUGCGAUCCUGUGAGUAGAUUUUAUUUUUUAUUCUAUGGGAGCGUGUGUGUUCAUUACUUUUUGCCAUUAAUUCUCACUCAGCUCUCUUUCUCAGGCAUUAGCGCUUCUUGGAGAUUAUAUUGACAAAGAGGAUUCAUCUGUCCGAAUUGGUGCUAUUAUGGGUCUUGGAAUUGCACAUGCGGGUUCCCAAAAUGAUGAGGUGAAUACAUGUUAUUAUUACCUAUAGUGCUUCGUUGAAUGUUCUGUUGACAAGACAAUAACCAUGCUUACUGUUUGGAUAGAUAAGAAACCGUUUGUCUCCAAUACUAAAUGAUGCAAAAGCACCUCUCGAUGUGAUUGCAUUUGCUGCACUUAGUUUGGGGAUGAUUUACGUUGGUUCGUGUAACGAAGAGGUGGCACAAUCUAUUAUAUUUGCUUUGAUGGAUCGGAGCGAGGCAGAACUGGAUGAAGCCCUCACUCGUUUCUUGCCUCUUGGACUUGGACUUUUGUACCUUGGUAAACAGGUAGGCAGGGAGUCGUACUUGAUAAUUUUCUUGUUCGUGUACCUGACUGUUUUUUCCAGCUUAUUAGUUUUAACUUGUUACAAUAUCGAGCAGGAAAGUGUGGAGGCUACUGCAGAAGUUUCAAAGACGUUCAAUGAGAAAAUCAGAAAGUAUUGUGAUAUGACACUUCUUUCUUGUGCAUAUGCUGGAACUGGGAAUGUCCUUAAGGUAUCUGUUCAAAUGUGCUAGUGAUUGAAUUAGAUUAUUCACUGCUUUCUAGUUUAGUCGCUGAUUCUUCAAAUUAGGUCCAAGACCUUCUGGCUCAGUGUGGGGAGCAUCUGGAGAAAGAUGAUAUUCACCAGGGUCCAGCUGUGAUUGGAUUAGCAAUGGUUGCUAUGUCUGAAGAAUUGGGUCUUGAUAUGGGGAUACGUUCUUUGGAGCGUGUGUUACAGUAUGGAGAACAGAAUGUUCGGCGGGCAGUGCCUUUGGCUCUUGGUCUCCUCUGUAUAUCAAACCCAAAGGUGAAUGUUAUCUUUGUGAAUCAAAUUUACUUUUCUACAUAAGAAUACUGCUGUUACUCUCUAAACUUCUUUAUAAUUCCAGGUGACUGUUAUGGACACCUUGAGCCGGCUAAGCCAUGACACAGAUUCAGAGGUUGCUACGGUGAGUUAGCUUUUUGCCACUCAUGGUUGGGUUAGUAGUUAUUUCAUUGACUUGCUAUGUGGCGUGGAUUGAUGUUUCAUCUGAUCCUACAGGCAGCCAUUAUCUCCCUUGGUUUGAUAGGCGCUGGAACCAACAAUGCAAGGAUAGCUGGCAUGCUUAGAAAUCUCUCCAGCUAUUAUUACAAGGAUGCCAGCCUUCUCUUCUGUGUAAUGUGUUAUUUUUAAUAUUUUUUUCCCAUGCAAGAAACAUAAGUUCAACUUACUCUAGGUUUGUUCUCAUUGUGUUACGUCCUAAUGCAGGUGCGUAUUGCUCAAGGGUUUGUGCAUAUGGGAAAGGGUCUAUUAACUCUCAGUCCUUUCCACUCUGAACGGCUAUUGCUAUCGCCGUAAGUGGUAGCGUAUAUUUUAUGAAUACUUGGCUUUCAAAGUUCCACCCUGUGAAUCCGUAACAUGGGUGUUGUGUUUUGUACCCAGAACUGCUCUUGCUGGUAUAGUGACAUUGUUGCAUGCAUGCCUUGACAUGAGAUCCAUCAUAUUGGGGAAAUUCCACUAUGUGCUCUACUUCAUUAUUUUGGCGAUGCAGGUGAGUGCAAUGUUCUAUCCAUGACUUUUUUGUAAUGGACUAAACAGUGUUUAUCUACUGACACAAUGCGGUUUGAGUGUGCAGCCAAGGAUGAUGCUUACAGUGGAUGAGAACCUGAAGCCUAUCUCGGUGCCAGUGCGGGUAGGACAAGCAGUUGAUGUGGUUGGACAGGCGGGUCGACCGAAGACAAUCACUGGGUUCCAAACACACUCGACACCUGUUCUCCUUGCUGCUGGGGAGAGAGCCGAGCUCGCAACCGAGAAGUAUGUUGUUCCUCUAAAGCCCGUGUGUUACAUUAUCAUACUCAAAACAAAACUGUGUGUUACAUUUCGGAAUCUCAAAAAAUCUGGUUUUGUUUUUUGGGUUUACAGGUACAUACCGUUGUCGCCCAUAUUAGAAGGUUUCAUCAUAUUGAAGGAAAAUCCAGACUACAGAGAAGAGUGAAUCCAAAGUUGGAAGUGCGAGCAUAUGAAAGAAAGAGAGCCUUUAAAUACUUUCACUGUGGUUUUAUGUGCACAGUCAGUUUUUUUCUUUCUUAGUUAAUUCGCGUCUGUUACAAGGAAAUGGUUCACAAUCUUUCCUUUUCAAAAAGAAAAACCGCUUCACUGCGUCAACUAGGAACUUUUUGUGCACUUUUAACAUCAUUCUAUUAUAUAGAUGGAUAAGUUUUGAAAUCCAAAAUCUUUAACCUGUCCUUGAAAUCAUCUACUUGUUAAUAGUUCUUAUUCCCUAUAAAAGGAGGAAAUAAAGUAAGCUUGGGCAUAGUGCUCUUUGGUUUGCUGCCAGGAAAAACUUAAAUCUCAUGCUUUGUACUCCAACUUCAGUUUAGCAAAGGCUCCUCUCGUUGUCUUGAGGAUUUGGCAAAAGCUCAAGUAAUAUAAUAAAAUGAAGAAAGGUGACCUAGCCGGCUACAUAUUACAUAUAUGGCGUGCACGACUCACUCGUUUCCCCCCUUCUGUCUUUUUCUUUUCUGUUUACAUAAUUUCGUUCCCAACUACCCACAAAAAUAACUCUCUCGUAUCGUAAAACCAGAAGUAUAAAAUCUUAUUAAAAAUUAGCAGCGACCAACAAAGGUAAAAUCAUGUACAUGUAUAUUUUAGCUUCUGUCACAAAAUAGUAUGUGAAGUUUGCCUAAAGAACUCAGAAAAAAAAACAAUAAAUAAAGAAACAAAUGAAUGGAAUACAGUUUUCACUGUUUGUUCAGGCCGGUAUAUGUAUGUCCAACCAAAAGGAAGAAAAAAGAAAGUAAUUUAAUGGCCACGACCUCUUGGACUCGGACCGGACGCCAACCGCUGAAACCACGAAUCAACCGUCGACUUCAUCUUCUCCACCGUUCCGUUCUCAGAUCUUUCCGUUAGAACCCUCCCCGCAGAAGCCUGUUCUACAACAAAAAACGCCACCAUCACCACCACAAUCAAAACAGUAGACCAACUAACUCUUCUCAUUUUUAUUUUGCUUUCUCUUCUUUUAAGUUUGUACCGACAAAGUAUUACCAAAAAGGAGAAGUUUUUUUGUUUGGUUUGGUUAUGGAAAGAAGACUCUAUAGGAGAUAUGGAUAUGUGGGAAUAAAAUGAUAAAUAAGAGGGAGUAGGAGUAUGUAUAUAUAUACAUAGUAACAAGGAAGCGGUCAUGAUGAUUCAUGACUCGAGAGUUCAUCACUUUAGGUCGGAUUUUCCCCGCGCUAGCUCACGAUUUCGCGUGUUGACCAAGUAUUAUGACUUGAACGGGUCGCUCCGCCUCCUAAACACUUACGUGAACUUACAUUUAUGUCCUCCCCCAUUUUGGUGUCACUGUGUGGAGUUUUUUUAGUUUAGUCAAUGCGAGUUUUUUUUUGUAAAAUAAAGUAUACCAAAUACAGCGGAGUUGUUGUUUUACGCGGUUACUAUUAUUAUUCAAAAAUACUAUAAAAGCUAACAACUACCAAGUUACCAACGUGCUGUUUUAUCGUAUUCAUCGUUUUUAAUAGUACUAUAGCUGUAUUAAGAUUAGUUCUAAUAUAUUUUUACUGAUAAGAAUAUAAUUUUUACUUUAAUUUAUUCAUUUAUAUAUGAAUUACAGGAUUUAUAUAUAUAUCACCAUAAACAAACAUAUAAAACUUUGAUUUUUGUUUCGAAAAGUCCUGGUUGAGUUUUGAAAAACUUCACGCGUAAAUCAAGAUUGACUAAUUAAAGUACUGCAGAGAGGACCAAUUCACAAUUUCACCUAGAUAAUUCUCUUAUCAGUUUAGGUAAUGGGGAUAAUGUAUUGUAAAAUAAUACAUUUCAAGUUAAUGUAAUAUAAAUUAAUUGCGUAUCAGUUGUGUUAGCUAGUAGGUAUUAGUGAUGAAGAAAUUAAAAUAUAUACUGAUAUACAAACGAAUUAAAGAACCAAGUAGACAAGUGUUUGGUAGGUAGGUAGGUUUAUUCAGUUUUAAAAAAACUUGGAAUUCUCAAGUGAUUUUUGGUUCAAUAUACUAGCUAGCUUGUAGUCAUACAAGCAUAUCUAUUUGAAAAGUGAUAUCUAAAGACUGUUUAAUUUUAAGAAACAUUGAUAUUCAAAACAUGCGAAUGUUGACUGUCCAACAAAUUCAAGGGGAUAGUCUUGUGCUACUCCUACCAAACUAAUACUAAGUAAAAAAAAGUCCUAUAUAUAUUGUAGUACAACAAAAUUCAACCCUCAUGUAUUUUGGGUAAGCUGAAUGAAUAUUCUGCUGAGUUUUAUUUACUGUGUCUUCGGAUCGGGUCAAAAUAGAUUAUAGUUUAUAAUCAAUUAUACUGAAUCGAUCAUAGUACUCUAGUUAGUGAUCUUAAAGAGGUUUACUUUUGAGAAAAUCUUAUGAAACACCAACCAGUUAAUUGAAUACGGAUCCUUCAUUCAUUGAAAUAAUAAUAUCUUGUUCUUCGAAAAUGCAAUUAAUUUCUGUUAUUUAAAGAAAAAGAAAAAAAAGAAUUACUUUUGCAAUUUGGGGUUGACAUUAGCUUUUGUGAUGGUUUUGGGCCAUCAUAGUAAAACGGCCCAUUAAGACAUAAAUUAUUGUCUAAUUAAGCCCAUCACAUAAACCUUCCAAAGCUUUUUCGUCUGCUUCAUCUCCUCUCCCAAAACCCUUCCUCUAGGUUUAGUGUUUCGCUGUCUGGAACGAUAUCUCUCAGUCACUCAAGUCUCUCCCCCCAAUAGUAUUCGCCGUGACCUUCUUUUCUAAUCGUAUACAAUGAGGAUUAAGACGUUAUCGAGAUCGAGUGAUGAAUUCACCCGAGAAAGAAGUCAGGAUCUUCAGGUAACUUUUGCAUACCAAUAAAAAACCUUAGGAUUCAGUGUCUAUACAUAUUCUAAUCAAUUUAUGUGAUUCCAGAGGGUCUUUCACAACUUCGACCCAAGUCUUCGACCCAUGGAGAAGGCUGUGGAAUACCAGAGAGCUCUUAAAGCUGCCAAAUUAGAAAAGGUAACUAUUUGCAAUUACCUCCCUUCAAAUUUUGUUCCUUUGUUUUAAUUUUUUUUGAAGUUUCAUUGUGGAGUUGUAUUGAUUGGUUUUGGAACAAUUUCUCAAAUUUGCAUCUGUUUUUUCCUUGUUCUGUAGAUAUUUGCAAGGCCGUUUAUAGGAGCAAUGGAUGGUCAUCGUGAUGGAGUCUCGUGUAUGGCGAAGAACCCGAAUUACCUCAAGGGAAUCUUCUCAGCUUCUAUGGAUGGAGGUAAGUAUAUUACCUCUUGUUUUCUUCUCCAAGUUUUAACACUUUUUUGAAACUUUGAUGAUGAUAAGAUCUAUGGAAAGGGAUUCAAUAGAUAUUGCAGGAAUCUAUAUGGUGAUUACUUGGUUUAUAUAUGGAUUAGUUGUACUGUUGUAGCAUUAAAGUAUAGGGAUAGUGCUCAAAGUUUGGUCAUUUUUAGUUUGCUGUAACUGGCACUAGCAAAUUAUGUAAUUGAUACUAUCUUUCUCUUUCUUCUCUGCAGAUAUUCGCCUUUGGGAUAUCUCUUCAAGGUUAAAAUCUUGAAAACUAAUUCUCUUCUGAACUAAUUUGAUCUUCAUUUAGUUUUUUUCUGUUUUUAAUUUCUAUGUUUUGUGUUUUGGUGAAUGAACUCUGGAAUUUGGAACAUGCAGGCGUACAGUUUGCCAAUUCCCUGGUCAUCAAGGUGCUGUGCGUGGUCUUACAGCGUCCACUGAUGGCAAUGUACUGGUUUCAUGUGGAACUGAUUGCACGUAAGAUAUGAUAAGGAUUUAAUUGUUUUAAAUUUUCCAGUCGUUGAUCAGAUUUUAGGCCGUCAAACUAAGGUGAAUGGAUUUCUGCAGUGUUCGUUUGUGGAAUGUUCCUCGUCCUACACUUGAAGAUUCUAGCGUUUCAUCUGAAAAUAUCAUUAAGGUAGUUCUUGUAAAAUUCUUUUUUUUUGUUUGUAAUAUUGUAUUAUCAUGUGCUUGCUCUUACCUUAUAUAACAACAAGCUUAUUACACUUAUUUUCAGCCAUCUGCAGAAUAUGUCUGGAAGAAUGCUUUCUGGUAGACUUCUUACACUUCAUUCAAUUUCUCAUGAUUCUAUCGGUCCAAAAAAACUUGAGCUACUUUUUUUUGUUUUUACUUAUUUCUAGGGCUGUUGAUCAUCAGUUUGAAGGUGACCUUUUUGCUACGGCUGGUGCUCAACUGGAUAUAUGGAAUCACAAUAGGUACUCAGGCUCCUGCUGAUAGAAUUUUUGGUGCAUGUUUUAAUUUAUUUUAAGUAGUACUUAAGGUUGUACCUUGUUGUAAUUAGGGCUCAGCCAGUUCAGAGUUUCCAGUGGGGAACGGACUCUGUAAUAUCUGUCCGGUUUAAUCCCGGAGAGCCUGAUAUAUUGGCUACAUCUGCUAGGUAAUAUACUUUCUACUUUCUACUUUCUACUUUAUACUUUUAUAUGUUAUGUGAUUGUCUGUGCUAGACCUUGCAGAGCUUUCUCUAACAUUAUAAGAGGAUUUCUCUUCUUCCAGUGACCGCAGCAUAACCAUAUAUGAUCUCCGCAUGUCUUCUGCAGCAAGGAGAAUCAUCAUGAUGGUAUAGUUGUAACUUGUUCAGCCAUUCUCGUCAUAUGAAUUCAUUUUUACUCUUCAAACUAAAAAUUGCAACUGUGGUCUGCAAAUUGCUUUUUGUUUGGCAGACAAAAACAAAUUCAAUUGCAUGGAACCCCAUGGAGCCUAUGAACCUGACAGCUGUAAGUGAUAAUCAUAAUGUGAAAUGUUCUCUGAUGAGUUAACAUUUGGUUUUUGCUUACGUGCUAAUUUCAACCCAUGGUAAACUGAAUAGGCUAAUGAAGAUGGUAAUUGCUAUAGCUUUGAUGGUAGAAAGUUGGACGAAGCCAAGUGCGUGCAUAAAGAUCAUGUUUCUGCAGUGUAAGAGUGAAGAAGGAUAAAUCCCAACUAUCAGAUAUAAUAUAUUAACAAGCUAUAAUAUUGAUCUAAUUUCAUCAUUUAUACAGGAUGGAUAUUGAUUUUUCACCAACUGGUCGUGAAUUUGUUACGGGUUCUUAUGAUCGAUCGGUGAGAAUCUUCCCAUACAAUGGAGGGCACAGCAGGGAAAUUUACCAUACAAAGAGGAUGCAGAGGUACGAUCUAGUGAACAACUCUGUAUAUAUUUGAAAUUCAGAUAUUCUGGUGUACCACCUUAUGAAUUUGUUUUAGGCUAAUUUUAUAUUUUAUUGCUAUCUUCUUGUAGAGUAUUCUGUGUCAAGUAUAGCUGUGAUGCUACAUAUGUAAUAUCAGGCAGUGAUGAUACCAAUCUCAGGCUAUGGAAGGCAAAAGCAUCAGAACAAUUGGGAGUUGUAAGAUUUUGUGAAUUUUCUUGUUACACUCACUAGCAUUAGAUUAAUUUAGACAAAACAAAAACCGAAGAAAAGUUACUGUAGGCUAAACCAUGGAUUCAAUAGUGUAUUACUGCAUAUGCUAAACCAUGAGAUAUUACUUGUACAUGCUCUCUUAAAUAUUUUCAACUUAGGAACGGUGAUUCUCAACGUUGACUGGUGAUUUGUGUUACAGAUUCUUCCAAGGGAACAGAAGAAGCAUGAGUACAAUGAGGCUGUGAAGAACCGGUACAAGCAUCUUCCUGAGGUCAAGCGCAUUGUGAGGUACAUGACAAAAAAAAACUGUAGUUUUAUCUCAUGUUUCUAACUUUGGAGAUUGUCAAAAGAUAACCGUAGUAACAUGGUAACGUUUUGGAUAUUGUGAAAUACAGACACAGGCACUUGCCAAAACCAAUAUACAAAGCAUUGGGGGUCAUCCGAGCUGUGAACGAUUCAAAGAGAAGAAAAGAAGAGCGAAGGAAAGCUCACAGUGCACCAGGAACAAUUGUCACAAAACCUCUGCGCCAAAGAAGGAUUAUCAAGGAAGUGGAGUGAGUUUAAUCUUCUUCUUUUUGUUCGUAUCACGGAAAAAGAUACGUUAGGUGAUUUUGUUGGUAUAGUGAGGGUAAGGUUAGGAACCUCUGCUAUAUGUUAUGCCCAUGUCGGGUUUUUUAGCUUCACUAACCAUUGUGUUCAUGAAUUACUCCUUUUGGGUGUUUUAAAGCUGAUCUUAAAGUAAUAAUUUGAUUUUAUGUGCUUACAGUUUCUCUUGACAAUGCCAUUAACUAUAGAUGAGAAUAUGAGAUAUACAAUGAAGUGCAUAACUGGCUCUAUAAAGAGCUUUAGAGAGUGUAAACAAACAUACGGGUAAUAUGCAAUGCAAGACGAUAGAUAUAAGGAAAGUUUGGGAAUGAAAAAUCUUAUUUUACUGUAUUAAAUAGUGAACUAGCUCACAGUGGUCUUUUAACUUACAUCAACACAAAUUAAAAGAAACAAUCACAAUACCGUAGACUCAAAUAGUUUUCCAGAGCAAGAUCCUGACCGCAUAUUUUAGGGUAAAAAAAAGGAAGCAUUCCUACAAGCAUCUCUGGACCAGUCAUACAAUCUUCAUAAUCUAAAUCAAAGACCUUCACGGUAGAAAAAUCAGAACCCAACACACUCAGGGGUUAAACUUCCAUAAACAGACUAAAAAGAUCACUGAUCACCAACAUUGAUCAGUUCAUACUCAACAAGAGACAGAUUGUUAUCCUCCUUGACUGUGAAAGACGCCGGUUCAGUGACUUCGAUGCGCCCCCAUUUAUCCACUCCUAGCCUCAUUGUACCCUUGAACAUGUCUAUCCUUGAAUUGCGCAGAAUCACCGUUGCCCCUGGCUUCAUAAGAUCAACUAUACACAAAGAAAAGAAUCAGUAGUUCAGUACCAUAAUCAAUGUAAUCAGUAGGCCAGAGUAAUUAUACAAUAACUGGUACAACACUAGCUAUUCUACAGGAAAAGCUAUGAAAGUUUUGGGAGAUAAUGUAGAGCAUUCAACUGAACAUAACUCAACAUAUGACCAAGCAAGUUUCACCUUUACUAAAGGCAAGGUCAAAUUUAAGCUAAGACGUCUUUCAAUUGCAUAAGCUACACAGACAUCACUAAAUGAUACCAGGCUUGAACAGAUUUUCACAGUAAUACCAUACAUUCAUUUCCAUUUUCAGUCACAAUGAUAGCUUUUCACACUCUUUCCAGAAAUUGACAUAAAUAAAUUCCCAUUUUCAGAUACAAGAAUAGCUGAUGCAGAAUAGCUGAUGCAUCAUCCAUCAUAAAGACUAGCAGAACACAUUUUACCAUUUGCUCAAAAAUAUAUAAAAAAUGAAAACAAAUACUGACGAAGACAAACCAGUAAACAACAAAGGAUCAAACUAUAUCUCUCCAACAAACUAUAAUAUGCCAUAUCUAUAUCCUAAGAGCAAAAGAAAAGAGUGAGUAACCUUGGUCGUUACGAGCAGUGAAGAGGAUACAUCCAGUUUCGUCUCCGAUGAGACACUCAACGAUUCGACUGGGCUGAGACGGCCUACUCAGAGAAUUCGCAGUACGAGGCUUACGGGUAACAGGAACCACGGUACUAGCAUCAAUGACCUUAACAGUCAACGUGUGACCAGUCGUUCCAGGCUUUAGCUGUUCCACCUUCACAAACACUGGCUUUCUCUUCACCGUCGACGUUCCCGUCGCAACUGCUGCAUUUCCUGUAGUCGCCAUCGCUCAGAUUACAAAACCCAGAUUUCGCGUUCGCCCUAAUUGCUGGAAUCGAAAGAAAAAAAAAACCUUUUGGGAGAGACCAAAAUGGGAUUUUAGGGUUUAUAAAGAAAGACGACGAUGUGCUCUGCUCACUCCCGAGACUGACGAGAGUUUUAAUCACCUGCUUCUCGGUAUCAUGAACUUUGUCACGUGUCGAUUUCUUAUUUGAUAUUUUUCAUAUGGAUUAAAGCUAUUAAUUUAUCCUUUAUUAGACAUUAAUGUAACAAAAGUCAUACAGCUAAUUUGAAAACGUGAAGAGACACUAAUCUAAAGCUUUCUUUGGUGCUUCAGUUUCUGCAACAACCACCACCAUCGCUUGCUCUUCUUCUUCUGUUGGCCGCGGCGGUGAAGGUGACUUUUCCUCCGGCGAUUUUAGUUGCUCAUGAUGAGUUACUUCUUGAUGCUUCUCCACUUCAAUGGUAUCUAACUGGAGAUUCUGCCGUCUGUAUCUGAUUACAACCACUAUGAUAAACACUGCUAUGAAACGGGUCUUGAGACUGGUUAGGUUCCAGAAUGCAGUAACUGCAGAGCCUGCCACAAACUUCUUGUGUGUGCAAAUUCCCCAAGCUUCAACUAUUCUCUUUUGUGCACUUUCAACUACACAAAGCAAAGAUCCGUUUUUGUCAUUGGAUUGGACACACCAAAGAGCAGUUUACAGUCUGUUCAAAUGGAUUUUACCUUGACGAUUAAUCUGACUAGCAUAACAUGAAUAUAGCUUUGGAACUGUGAAGCUUAGGAAGAAACCUGUUUAUCCAACUAUGGUCAGUUCUAGUAUAUUCAACUACAAGAAUACCAAUUAGAUUUCGUUGGAGUAUUGUUGACAUUGAGAUUUAGUGUUCCAGUAAUCAUACCAAAAGCACAUAACCUCCACAAUGUUAUGAGGUAACCAUACUCAGCUCCCAUUAGAACAAAAGGUGCCACCUGAAAUCAAAGUAAAAACCGAAUAAGAAGACUAGACAUAUUCAUUAGAGAAUAUUUUUUAUGAGAAUGGUGAAACUUUGUAAAUCCUACCUUGAGUGUCAUUGCAGGUUCGCCAGAGAAAAGCUCGCUCGUCUUUGAAAUCGCUAAAUUGGUGAUGGGAAGCAUUCGUCUUGCUAUUCGUAAGACAUCCUCUUCACUCAACUUGAGCUCUCUCCGCGCUUCUUCGGUUGCCCUUGAAGGUAACAAAUGGAUUUAAAAACUUUAGUACAAGCUAAUUUUUGAUAUGUACCGGGAUCUUAAGAGUUUGUACCUUUGGCGAAGAGUGUUUGACAGGAACGAUACCCCAAGAAACAAGAGUCCAAGAUAGGAGAUCGCUGAAAAAACACUUCAAACCAACAAAAUUUCCUUGAAUGUGACAAAUAAUUGAAGCUAGAAAGAUAAAUCAUGAUAAUAUAAAUCAAUGUACCUAAAGUUAAAUCCUUUAGCAGCAAAGCAAGAAGACAUGAAACAUAUACAUCCGAAACCGAACCAGAGUGUUGAUUUUGCAACAUCGCUCCACAUGAUCAAAUCGCUUAUAUUCUCUCUAAUCCGCUCCAAAUCACCUUGGCUAACAUCUUUAUCUGAAUUACGAAGCCAUAACACAACUACUGAGCAAAGCAUUCAUAGUAGAACAAGAGAGUGAACUCAUUUUGCAAAAUAAAAGGACCUACUUAUUAGAUUUGAAGAUUGGCAUGGAGAAGGUAUCACAGGAACAGAAUUUUGCUUCUCCUUCUUAGAUCGACCCGUCUUCUUAUGUUUUCUCGGUGUCUGAGUUUUCUCAUCAAUCAAGCCAACAAUAGGUUCCUUAUUAUCUUCCUUCGUUUCAACCAUCACCCCCGACCUUCGUCUCGAUCUCCGGCAAUUCCUCGGCGAGGCACAACCCGAAAGACCAUUUUGCCCUCCCUUAGUCCUACAUCGCCGUGCCACCGCAGCAGCCUCCGUAGCUUCCAUAUCAAAACGAUUGCUCAAACGGGUUCUCGAUUUACGGAGAGGAGAAGGAGAUAAGAGGAGGAUUUCGCGAAGAGUGACAGGAGAAGAUGGUGAAUUGAGGGAAAUAGGUGAUGGGUAAGGAGUACCGUUGCUCUUCGGAGACGAGACAACCAAAUCGAGAGAUGGAAUAUGCGAUUUGACGAGAGUGUUGUUGUU